Sinocyclocheilus anshuiensis is the source of this 1009-nucleotide long non-coding RNA. RefSeq lists it as uncharacterized. The transcript is spliced from 5 exons. The record is from RefSeq and is a predicted model, not a curated record. Lineage: Eukaryota; Metazoa; Chordata; Actinopteri; Cypriniformes; Cyprinidae.
AAUGAAAGCAGGCACUUGAGCAACUAUGUGUGCACCCAGUAAAAAGCACAAUGUAGGAGCAUUAGUAUGCUAAUGAGGUGCAGGGCGACAGGUGGCCCGCUAGACAGCUCAAUUAAGCAGCUCGUUAAAGGCCAAGCUAACGAAGCGGCCUGCACUGCAAGCCUCAACAAACAAUGUGACUGUGCAGGCUACAAAUUGGUUUCCUGAACACUCUCCCUGUCUUCCAUUGUUUGGAAAACAUAUAGCCCUGACCAUGUGUUGCUGUAUUUGGCUCAUCAGGAUGCAGAACAAUGUUUUGAUAGCACCACAAGGCCAAGCAGCUUGACUGAAUAGGCGUAUGAAUGGCUGUUUUCUGCCUACAUGAACCUAUUGGAGGUGGAUCAACCAUAUGCCCAUGGACAUGCACACUCAAUGACAAAGGCGGAUACCAACAGGCCCUCUCUGACACAAAGCGCCGAGGGGCUGAGGGAGGCGGGCAAGACGAGGGGUGCAUCUUAACCUGAGACAUCCCUCACACAAGAGGAGUGCAAUGGAGUUAACUACUGUAGCAGAGGGCAAAUGAAGUUCAGCUGAGGUGAAGGGGUGAGACAACGUCAAAGAAGGAACAACGGAGAGAGAUCGAGAGACGUUGUCUAAUGAAGGAAUGCACAGAGAGAUGGAAACUAAUGGAGACAAAGGAUGUACAGAGUGAGAAGGAGAGGGAGAGAGAUGGCGAUGGGGUGGCUGACUGCUGUUGAACUCAUCCUCAUCUUAAUUGAUGAGGUCAUCCUGGGGAUAUCCCAAAACUAGAGUGUCCCCGGGAGGUCAUCACCAGGUCAUCCAAAAGUCAAAGUGCAUCGGAGAGAGAUGACGUAGCAUAUAACUUUUCUUUGUGUUUCUGUUGUCGUUGUUGUUUUUGUUUGUUUAUGGGCUUUUUGCCUUUAAUUGUAAGGAUAGUGUAGACUAGGCAGAAAAGUGGAGAGAGACCACGAUUUUCUAGGCCGAUAUGGCUAGGAACUAUACUUCCAUU